GCUGGCUGCUGUAACGGGUAGCUGUGGCCCAAGUGGGAGCGACGCGUAAUGAGGAGGAUGUGAUUCUGAGGUUCAAUUCUCAUUGGCUCUCGUGGAGAACGCGCCCUCCGUUGGCUGUUGCUCUGGUAAAGUAGACUCAGCGAAGGCUAAAUCUACUUUAUCAUUAGAUGUUCGAGAUCGCGUGAGGCCUGAUAAAGGAGCAACGUAAAACGAACUGCAGUGGUGAAACGUGGGACGACGCUGUUCGAGAGAGCUUGUGAGAUACGUUGGCCUUCGUACACAUUCAACUAUUACGUUU
This 298-nucleotide signal recognition particle RNA is filed under the name Galdieria sulphuraria. RNAcentral's name for it is "Metazoan signal recognition particle RNA". It matches the Rfam family "Metazoan signal recognition particle RNA". From Rfam's summary of the family: The signal recognition particle (SRP) is a universally conserved ribonucleoprotein. It is involved in the co-translational targeting of proteins to membranes. Lineage: Eukaryota; Rhodophyta; Bangiophyceae; Galdieriales; Galdieriaceae. The record is from Rfam by way of RNAcentral.